CCAGGCUAUUAGAUCACGCCAACAGUCUUUUCUUCCCCUGUGGGUAAAUAAUGAUGAGAUGUGGCUCUCUCAGCUCCUAUGAAAAUGAUGCAUACUGUUCAACAGAGCCCUUGAGUGUCAUUGCAGAACACUCAGCAGCAAGCAUGAAACAUGUCCUUAAAGUGAAGAUGGUUUUUAUCACAUAGUAGUGGAAGCUUUGAAGCAGCCAGGAGAGAAGGUUUUAAGAAGAGGUUGCAGAAAUAAUGUAGGAAUAGUCACCAUUGUCUUGUCAUGAGAAGUCAAAUUACAAAUGAAAUUGAUGCUUGUUUAUUAUUAUUAUUUACUGUUCGUUUAUUUUUGUUUCAUUUUCAAUAUUAACA
RNAcentral lists this long non-coding RNA (359 nucleotides) under Phasianus colchicus (ring-necked pheasant). RNAcentral describes it as "lncRNA (ENSPCLG00000016212.1)". The record is from RNAcentral. Lineage: Eukaryota; Metazoa; Chordata; Aves; Galliformes; Phasianidae.